UCAACCCAUUUAACCUUCUAACCCAUCAAAUUAAAUGAGUUCAUGGGUUGACUCAACUCAUUUGGCUAAAUGAGUUGAGUCAACCCAUCAACUCAUUUGGCUAAAUGAGUUGAGUCAACCCAUCAACUCAUUUAACUCUAAACUCAUUGGGUAAUGAGU
This is a non-coding RNA of Arabidopsis suecica, 159 nucleotides long. The record is from the annotation of a GenBank genome assembly. NCBI's taxonomy places the organism in Eukaryota, Viridiplantae, Streptophyta, Magnoliopsida, Brassicales, Brassicaceae.